GUUCAACUGCUGUUUCCCAAUGAGUUCUUUGUCAUAGAAUGACCUUUUGGUAGCAGUACUGAAUAAUAAAAAAAUUGUUGCUGUUUGCGCGUCUCCGUCGUCCCUCACUCUUGCGUUUCUUUCAACCGGUAAGAUGUCCCCUUCUCCCUCUUAAUCAUUUUCUCAAUUAAGUUCUAAUUUACAUUUCUGUCAAUUAAAUGCCUAUUGACCUGACAAAUAAUGGUUUGAAAGUGAGUCAAUAAUCAAUAGAAUCAUCAGCACAAACAUGUUAAUGAGAAUUUUUUGAUGCUUGAUUAGCCUGCUAAAGGUAAAAGAAAUUAAAAAAAGUUGUUCGGAGUGAGAGGUUUGAUUGCUUGCUUGGAACCUUACUCUUUUUUUAGGUAGUAGAGAUAUGCAUAUUUGCAACGUAUCUUCACUGAGGAAAUGUUGGCUUGUUCUCAUCACUGGACCUUGUCUUUAUAACUGUCCUGCAUUCUUGAAUUUGAUGGUGCUUGCAAUGGAAAUCCUGGGAAACCAGGCGCUGGUGUAAUAAUAAGGCGUUUGGAUGGAUCUGUGGUAUAUAUGUACACCAACAGUUACUAUGCUGGUAUUUUUCUUAGUGGUUAGUUACUUUAACUGAAGAUUGCUCAACUACGAGAGUUUUUGGGUAUUGCAACGAAUAAUGGUGUUGAAUGUCGUGCAUUGCUGCUGGAGUUAACAUAUGCUGCUAAGAAGGCAUUCAAAUAUGUUUGUGGUCAAAUCAAAAGAGGUCGAAUUGCUUCUGCUUUUAUUUUGUAUUAUUUUAUCAUCAUGGUCCUCAGUUUAUCCUCGCCAAGAGAAAGUUUUAUGCUGCAUCUGUUAACACAUUUAUAUAUAGGUUAAGGUGCCCCACAGCCUAGUAUUUUAUUUGGGCAAGGAAUAAUUGGAUAACAGUCUUAAUUUAUAGAAAAUCUGGUGAAACUAAUCAGAGCUCUUUGAAGAGUUACUCCAGUUGCUGGAGGCUUUAUUAGUAUUCAGUUUUCUUAUCUUAGCAUAAGUAACACACUUAAAUUUCGGGAGCCGGUCCAAGAUCUCUGGUGUGCUAGGAAUGAUAACAUGGUUGACUUGUGCAAGAAAUUUAAGGAAAUGAAGGGAAAUUUUCUUCAGUUUCAAAUCAACCAUGUUUUCGGGGUAGCUAUCCUAUCUUUUCAUUACCUUGUGAUCUGAUUCAAACUUGCUUGUACCAGCCAGUUUGGGGAUCUGUUAUGAAAGCUUGGUGCAUGCUUGUGCUCUUGUACAAAAGCCUACACUUGACUGAAUGACUUGUGAUUUGGCUCGGAUCACGCAUGAGAGUGCAAACUUUUUAUUCUUGUUUGGUUUAGCCUGAUUUGUGCUCUGCACAUUUCUUUCUAUGAACGUCACAGCGGGUGGAACGUUGUUGCUUGCCUGCGCGCUAUGUAUCAGUCGGCGCUACUCGAUUUGUUGCUAUUUAGGUCGUUGUAGGAAUUAACUAGCGUACUUUCUUGUAAUCUAUGGCAACGGCAUGACUGUAGCAUAUAGAAUGGGGCUGGUUCAUGGAACUCGUGAGGACACAAUUUUUGGUAUAUGAGCAUAAUAAGUUACUUAAUUAUGAUAAUGUUGCAGACUGGGCACGACGGUGGGUGAGGCGGGAUAGGUGGCACUGGGGCGCAGUGGAGUGGCUAGGCGGGAAUGUCUCGGCAGGGGACGGCGACCAUCGCAUCCGCUGAUAUGUUCACCAUCAUCAUUUAUAUGUAAUCUCAAAAACAAAUAAAUGCAUCCAGAUCUUGCAGGUUACACCAGGUUCUGUAGCUAUUAUUAUAUCUGUAAUUUCUAGCUUUCAUGUAAUUUAUCACCAUUUAAUUACUAUAUGUGAUAGAUAUUUCUCUACUUAUUUUUAUCUUAUAUGAUGUGUUGUUCUACCUACGUAUGUUGCAUUCAGAGUACCGUUAGUUCUUGUAUGCUUGCAUCUUUGAUUGCGUAGACAUGCAGAGUGUCCUUUAAAUUUCUGUUAUUAUAGUUGGGAGGGUUACUCCUCAUUCUGGAGCCCCAAGUCAGAUUGAUAGAUUUUAUAUAUGUAAACAUGAUGACCUUAUCAGUACCUUUGCCACUAUCUCUCUUUUGUUUGUGUAAUCCUACAGCCCGAUCAGCUUCAAAUACCUACUCUGACAGACAAUUCACGUUAAACUCGAUUAUUAACAUCCCUAUUCGUUGCAUUAAUUAUUUAUUUCUAGAGAUUUCUUUCUCAUAGCUGUUAUAUUCUUCCUUGCCCAUAAAUUAUUAUUUUGUUUAAUGAUAUCAAGCAUUCUUAUCUGGUAGAUCAGGCUGGUGACAAUGUCCAUCUGGAUGAGCAGGGGCAUGAUCUUUACAAUGAAGCACAAAGUUUGUCAGACAUUCUUGAUAAAGAGUCGAUAUAUCUAACUAUCUAAGGUGUGCCUGAUUAUACUGAAUGUUGCUCCCUUGCUUCCUUGACAUAUAUAUGGUUUUCUUUAACAUCUGAUCUCCAUGUCGUGUGAUAGCUACCAUUGAUGAAGUUACAAGAUGGUGAAAAUAAGCAGAAUGAUAUUUCAGUGGCUGAAGUGCUAGAAGAACCAGGAAGUUACUAGCAUCAAAAGGAAAAGAGAGCAAGGGGAUCUCAAACGUGUAAAAUCAUAUUGCCCAGUUAGAGAUUCCUAGGAGUUGUUUGUGCUAUUUUUUUAAGAUUACAUUGGUGAGUCGCUUUUUUUCUUUUCUCUCUAGGAGUAUGUCUCAAUAUGCAGCCUUUUGCUGUAUCAACAUUUUUUGUAAUCUUUCUAUUUCUGUAUAUUUAUGAGACCAUUUAUUUCAUUCUACAAUUAUGCUCCUGUCUUUGAUCCAGCAACAUACUACUUUCAAUAGUAUUACAUAGUUAUCCAUUGAC
Molecule: long non-coding RNA, 2875 nt
Filed under: Triticum aestivum (bread wheat)
Lineage: Eukaryota; Viridiplantae; Streptophyta; Magnoliopsida; Poales; Poaceae
Description: long non-coding RNA (TAES_LNC026389)
Source: RNAcentral